UUAUUCAUCUUAUAUCUGAAAGUUUGAUCACAAACUCCCCCUUUCCCCAUCCCCAGCUUCAAGUAACCAGCAUUCUACUAUGUUACUAUGAGGUAGACUUUUUUUUUUUUUGUAAUGUUUUAUUCUUUUCCCUUGGUCAUGGAAAAAUAGACGUUUGUUACAUUAUACUUUUCAUGAAAAGUAGAUGUUCAUUAUAUAUGUCUGAGAUUUUCAUAAUGUGAUGAAAAUCUUGAAUGCACUUGAAAAUAAAAGUAUAAUCUUAUACAUAUAUUUAGUAGUAAAUUCAUAUAUAUACAAGUGCUUUUGUUAUAAGCAUCAGUAAAUAUUUAAUAUUAGCUUUUUUUAAAGAGUGUGGGGGAAGACACAACAUUGAUUAUUCACUGUUCUAAAAAGUAAUCGUAUUAUGCUCAACAGGGAUGGAAAGUUCGUUUGGAUCAAUGAUUCUCAUGAGCAUCUUCUAGUAAGAGUUUUUUUUUAUAUGGCCAAUAUGGCCAUAUCUGCUUCUGCCUAUUCAGACGAUUUCUCUCUAAAGUGUCCCUCAAUCCCAAUGACAAAUUAGUAAGAAUUUCCCCAUGGCUGGAGCAAGGUGGAAGUUUUUACUAACUUAGAUGGCCAUUACUUCUCGCUGGCCUUAGGGAUUUAGGAUUGAUUGAAAGGCUGAAUGACCACAAGUCACUGUCAGAUAUUUUUUUCUGGAAUUAAAGAUCAAGUAAAAUUUUAGUUGACUGCCUGAUAAUUUAUUUUGGAGAAUUCUAUUUGAUAUCAACUAAUACCAAAAGCACCAUUGGGUCCUGUUGUUUGAAUCCCUGAAUGAAUGAAUGGAAGAAACAAGGCUACACUACGCCCCCUAGGGAUUUUUUCCCCCUCUUUGAUAAAGCUUUUUGCAUUUCCUCCUGGCUUAGGCCUCAUAGUUUGGAAAAGAAAACAUUAGGUUGGGGUGUUGGGUUGGGAGACAUCUCUAAUCUUCCUAAGGAUGUUACACUGGCUUACAUGUUGCCUUCUGUCAUACCCAUAAUCACUUUUAUUUAGUAGAGGUAGUACAGGAGAUGCAUUGGAAAAGCCCUAAGUUUCUGGGUUCUCCAUUUCCUCUGGUUUCUCCCAGAUAACUCCAUUCAAACCAAGAGUGCAAGUUUACCUAGUCAGCACACUUAUUUUUAUUUUAGGAAUUGGCUGCAUCAUGGUUUGAUUGCUUCAAUUAGCAAAGUUCAUGAUUAUAGAAAUUGCAGUGGUCUCAAUAACACUGGCUAAAGUCAGAAAGGACAUCCUUAACAGAGCUUUCCCCGUCUUCAUUGUGGAUUUUCAGGUGAACAAACAUGGAUUUCAGCACUUAUUAUUUAACUUAAAAAAAUCUUUCAGUACCCAGGCAAGAAACUGAUGGCAUGCUCAAAAUAAGUCUUUUGAGAAUAAAUUAGUAAACAGACUAAUAUGAGUGUUUAGGGUAUAGGAAAACCAGUGAUAGGGAGUGUGGUAUCCAAGGACUAACUCUCAUGACCCUGAGACCUAAAAAUACAAAUGGAGGGAUCUGUUACUGAAACUUGGUGGCAGAUGUAUGGAGAGAUGCCUGGCAGGAGCUGUGGGUCUUCAGAGAAUGACUCAACUAUGGUGAUGCAACAGAGUUGGAAGCAUGGGGAUAAAAGUCUGACUUCAAUUUUCUUCUGCCCAUUUAUUUCCUCUCAUUGUCAGAUCCCAACCAGACACAAAAGGUCAAGGCAAAUCACUGAUGCCAUCCAUAUGAGUCAGUCUAUCAUGGCGCACAGCCUGGUGGAGAAGGGUGAAGAGUGGCUCUAAAGGGACAAAUGUAAGAUAGCCAACAUGCCUCACUCUCUAUCCGUUUUUUUAAGAUGACUUUUUAACAGCAUUUUUAACUUCACUGCCAAAUUGAGAGGACAUGGAGAUUUCCAAUGUACCCCUUGCCCCCACAUAUACAUAGCCUGCCCCAUUAUCUACAUCUCCCAGCAGUGUGGUACAUUUGUUACAACUGAUGAACCCACACUGACAUAUCACAAGUACUCAAAAAGUCCAUAGCAUACUUUAGGGUUCAUUUUUCCUGUUGCACAGUCUAUGGAUCUAGAUAAAUGUAUGACACGUAUGCAUAAUUAUAGUCUCAUACACACUCUUUUUGCUGCCCUAAAAAUCCUCUGUGCCUCACUUAGUCACCCCUUCCCCCGGGCAACCAAUGACCUUUUUACAGUUUCCAUAGUUUUGCCUUUUCCAGAAUGUCAUAUAGUUGGAAUGAUAUAGUAGUAGCCUCCACAGACUGGCUUCUUUUACUUAGCAAUAUACAUUUAAGGUUCUUUCAUGUCUUUUCAUGGCUUAACAGCACAUUUAUUUUUAGCACCAAAUAAUUUUUAUAUUUUUUUCCUGAAGAUCACAAGAGUAGCUUACACCAUCUGAUACAAAGGCAAUUUCCUAGAACUCUCUCUGAAGCUUAAGCCACAGUGGUUAUAUAUGCUGAAUCUUAUACUCUUGAGUCACAUGGCCAACAGCAGAUACUUAACCUACAUUUCCUGUGAUUAUAUAUAGCUCCAGAAAACCUAAGAAAGUCUAAAUCAUGUUCUAAUCCCAGAUUCUUGGGAAAGGCAUUCUUUUAGGCCUGAGAUUGGUUCAGGAACAGAUUAACUUUGAUAUAUCAAUUAUUUCAGACUGGAGCAUAUACAAGUCCACAAAGCAGAAACACGUUGCUUGGAUCACUUCUAAUCAUGUGGAUGAGAGAGUGGGGUAAGCAGUUCUAUGGAGUGAAAAGAAAACCCAAUAGCUAGCUGUUCAAUAGUGGUCAUCAUAUUUAUUCUUGUGAUAUAUUCUCUACUAAUAUAAGCUAUCAUUAUAAAAUAGUGAAAUGAUCUUUAGAUUCAGGUUCAUAAACCUUGUUUUGAAUCACUACUCUGUGACCUAGAGGCCAUGUGUUAUUCAAUGAGUCACUAAAAUCUCUGAACCUCAAUACCAUUAUCUCUAAAACUGACUUCAACAAUACACGCUCUCACUACCCAAUGGGCUUUCAUGACCAAAAGACUAUAAAGAAAUUAUUAUGAGUGAAUAAAGUGAGAUAAUGUAUGUGAAAGCUCUUUCAGAAAUUCUAAGUCAACUCAAUUUUAAGUUGUAUUGUUGAACAGCAAUUUCUCCCAUGCUAUUUCUAACUUCUCAAGUUAGAUACAUAUAGAUCACUAAUUUUCAUUCCUUCUUCCUUUUAAAUAUAGAAUAAAAUGCUAUACAUUUCACUUUAAAUAUGACAGUUGAAUCCCAUGAGUCUUGAUAUGGUUAUUUUCAUUAUCAUUCAGUUCUAAAUGCUUCUCAAUUUCCAUUUUUACAUAGUCUUUGAUCCAUGAAUUUUUUUAGAUAUGGUCCUUUAAAAUUCCAAAUCCUAUGAAUUUUUAUGUUGUUUUUUUGGUUUGUAGCUCAGUUUCAUUGUGGCCAGAGAAUGAAGUGUGUAUUCUUUGAAAUGUGUCAUGGUAUAUUGUUACUUUGUGGCUCCUAAUGAACCAUAGUUCCCUUUAUUCAUUCCCUUCUAUAAUAUAUCCCUGCCAUAUUGACUCUUGGCUUGGCUAUGUGGUAAGCUAUAGAAAAUGGAACAUUAGCAGUCAUGAUACAAGAUGGAGCUUGAUAAGCACUAGCAAUUAGAGUCUGUCCUCUUGGAACUUAAUUUCUGGGAAUCUAACUACAAUGCUGUAGAAAGCCUUAUGGAAAGUUCAUGUGUUUUGGUUAUCUGUUGCCAUGUAACAAACACCCCCAAAAUUUAAGGGCAUGAAACAACAACUUAUUUCUCAUUAUUUUAUGAGUUGGCUAGGUGGUUCUUCUGCUUAAUGUAGGAAUGUCAACUGGGGCAGCUGGAAUGUCCAAAGUGGCUUCAUUCAUAUGGCUGGGAGAUGUCUGGAAACAUAGCUGGGGAUGUUGGCCAGGGACCUAGUUGCUCUCCCAUGUGUGCAUUCCCACAUGGUUGCUUGUGCCUCCUCCCAACUUAGUAGCUGGGUUCUAAGAAAUGUUUCAAAAGGAUAUAGCAUUACUUAGCAGAACCAGUACUCCAAGAGGGAAAGGAGCGAACAGACAAAUAUAGAUAACACUGUAUUUGAGAAGCAUAAACUUUAAAAAAGUCUAGCAUUCUAGAUACAGAUUCCACAAAAGCAGAAGUACUAGAACAGGGAGUCUAAUAAUAUAUAAUUAGUCUAAUAAAGCCUACUAAAAGAGAUAAAGAACAAUAUAAGCCAUAUGAAGCAAGAAUAUAAGAAGAUGACAAAAAUAAUAUUAGGUAGCAAAAAUAUAAUAAUUGAAAUAAAGUAUGUAGUAUAGGAGAUAAAGAGCAGAAUGGGUAACUGAGGAAGAAAUCAGAUUUGUGGACUAGACUAAGAAACCCCAUAGAGAGAAGAAAAGAAGAAGAUAUAGGAACUAUAAAAGAAAAGCUAAGAAAUAUGGAGCAUAGGAGUAGGCAUACUAUCAGAAAGU
This 4434-nucleotide long non-coding RNA is filed under the name Sus scrofa (pig). Its description in RNAcentral is "lncRNA (ENSSSCG00000058890.1)". Lineage: Eukaryota; Metazoa; Chordata; Mammalia; Artiodactyla; Suidae. The record is from RNAcentral.